This 993-nucleotide long non-coding RNA is filed under the name Actinidia chinensis (golden kiwifruit). RNAcentral's name for it is "long non-coding RNA (ACHI_LNC001696)". The record is from RNAcentral. Lineage: Eukaryota; Viridiplantae; Streptophyta; Magnoliopsida; Ericales; Actinidiaceae.
ACAACUGAAUAGGCAGGAUUAUACUGCAAUGGGUUGGGGUAGGUCUGCAAAAACGAUUAAACAAUGACAUAAUGGUAUGUGAGAAUCCUUCACUCCUACAUACAACAGACAAGUAUAAUAAACAGCUUAUUUAACCAUCUUCAAGUCAGAACAACGAAACGAUGGUGCGUAUACAGUGACAAUAUUGAUCUUGGACACUUGUACAAUCCUAGCAUCCUACAAUUGAUAUAUAGGGAAACAUUAAAACCGUACCAAAAACUUCAGGAUUUUACUGAAUUGAUGAAAAAAAUAAAAGAUCAAAAGAACAAUAAUGCAAAAAAUUAUUUGCAUCCAUUCAACCAUGCAAGAUCCAGUCACAGAAAGUCCAAAACAGAAUCACAAAUAUUCCAGUAGAAUAUACAUGCACUUAAUAAUAUACGAAACAUAAACACAAAUAAAUCACAAAUACCCCGACUAGAAAUAUACAAAGAACAAAAUCAAUCGAAUUAAAAUAAAUAAACAACAAUAAUAUUGCACAAGAGAAACCACUUCAGACCGGUUCAAAGCGAUCAAUCACAUAGACAAUGUGAGUCAUUCUUUCAAUUGAAUUCUAGAACGCUCACGCAUAUAUGUAUAUACAUAUAUGAAUAUAUAAAUUUAUAUAUAUAUAGAGAGAGAGAGGGAGGUCGGGGAUGUAAUUGGACCACAAGGUGAGGAACAUGUGGUCGAGAAUCCGUAACCGGCGUCUCAGGUGGAGCAACACUUAGCCUAGGAACGGAAUUGCACGGGCCCAACGGGCAGUGGAGUCACCGUAUAUCUCGGAGUGGUUGGUCGGGAUUGAAGUGGGAGAGUGGGAGUUGACAGGGUCGAAGCAGCGGAACCGAGGAGUAGUGAUGAGAGAGGAUCUCGAUAUCUUUUUCAUUGGAGCGAGACGGCGGCGAAGAAGGCGAGUGCGUAGUUUGUGAUAUGCACGGCGUUUAAAUCGGUGGGAAUCGGCAUUGACUUGGACUGACU